This 495-nucleotide ribosomal RNA is filed under the name uncultured bacterium. Its description in RNAcentral is "partial 16S ribosomal RNA". It matches the Rfam family "Bacterial small subunit ribosomal RNA", at positions 28 to 507 of the family's 1533-position model. The record is from RNAcentral.
GACGAACGCUGGCGGCGUGCCUAAUACAUGCAAGUAGAACGCUGAAGGAGGAGCUUGCUUCUCUGGAUGAGUUGCGAACGGGUGAGUAACGCGUAGGUAACCUGCCUGGUAGCGGGGGAUAACUAUUGGAAACGAUAGCUAAUACCGCAUAAUAGUAGAUGUCGCAUGACAUUUGCUUAAAAGGUGCAAUUGCAUCACUACCAGAUGGACCUGCGUUGUAUUAGCUAGUUGGUGAGGUAACGGCUCACCAAGGCAACGAUACAUAGCCGACCUGAGAGGGGGAUCGGCCACACUGGGACUGAGACACGGCCCAGACUCCUACGGGAGGCAGCAGUAGGGAAUCUGCGGCAAUGGACGGAAGUCUGACCGAGCAACGCCGCGUGAGUGAAGAAGGUUGUCGGAUCGUAAAGCUCGGUUGUAAGAGAAGAACGAGUGUGAGAGUGGAAAGUUCACACUGUGACGGUAUCUUACCAGAAAGGGACGGCUAACUACGUG